RNAcentral lists this ribosomal RNA (424 nucleotides) under Fusobacteriota bacterium. RNAcentral's name for it is "Fusobacteria bacterium partial 16S ribosomal RNA". It matches the Rfam family "Bacterial small subunit ribosomal RNA", at positions 355 to 776 of the family's 1533-position model. The record is from RNAcentral. Lineage: Bacteria; Fusobacteriati; Fusobacteriota.
UGAGGAAUAUUGGUCAAUGGGCGAGAGCCUGAACCAGCCAAGUAGCGUGCAGGAUGACGGCCCUAUGGGUUGUAAACUGCUUUUAUGUGGGGAUAAAGUGCGUGACGUGUCAUGCAUUGCAGGUACCACAUGAAUAAGGACCGGCUAAUUCCGUGCCAGCAGCCGCGGUAAUACGGAAGGUCCGGGCGUUAUCCGGAUUUAUUGGGUUUAAAGGGAGCGUAGGCUGUCUAUUAAGCGUGUUGUGAAAUAUACCGGCUCAACCGGUGGCUUGCAGCGCGAACUGGUCGACUUGAGUAUGCAGGAAGUAGGCGGAAUUCAUGGUGUAGCGGUGAAAUGCUUAGAUAUCAUGACGAACUCCGAUUGCGCAGGCAGCUUACUGUAGCAUAACUGACGCUGAUGCUCGAAAGGGCGGGUAUCAAACAGG